GCGGACAUAGCUCAGUUGGGAGAGCGUCAGACUGAAGCCAACUUCAAUCAUUUAAUCUGAAGGUCGUGUGUUCAAUCCACACUGGCCGCA
This is a non-coding RNA of Colletotrichum orbiculare MAFF 240422, 90 nucleotides long. The record is from Rfam. NCBI's taxonomy places the organism in Eukaryota, Fungi, Ascomycota, Sordariomycetes, Glomerellales, Glomerellaceae.